RNAcentral lists this ribosomal RNA (445 nucleotides) under uncultured bacterium. RNAcentral's name for it is "partial 16S ribosomal RNA". It matches the Rfam family "Bacterial small subunit ribosomal RNA", at positions 354 to 796 of the family's 1533-position model. The record is from RNAcentral.
GUGAGGAAUAUUGGUCAAUGGGCGGGAGCCUGAACCAGCCAAGUCGCGUGAAGGAAGAAGGAUCUAUGGUUCGUAAACUUCUUUUGCAGGGGAAUAAAGUGCAGGACGUGUCCUGUUUUGUAUGUACCCUGAGAAUAAGGAUCGGCUAACUCCGAGCCAGCAGCCGCGGUAAUACGGAGGAUCCGAGCGUUAUCCGGAUUUAUUGGGUUUAAAGGGUGCGUAGGUGGUUUGAUAAGUCAGCGGUGAAAGUUUGCAGCUUAACUGUAAAAAUGCCGUUGAAACUGUCGGACUUGAGUGUAAAUGAGGUAAGCGGAAUGCGUGGUGUAGCGGUGAAAUGCAUAGAUAUCACGCAGAACUCCGAUUGCGAAGGCAGCUUACUAAGCUACAACUGACACUGAAGCACGAAAGCGUAGGGAUCAAACAGGAUUAGAAUCCCUGGUAGUCC